UGACGAGCAGCGCGGCCACGUCCUCGCUUUGGGCGAGGGUCCGCGCCAGGGGCGCGAAGCGCUUCAUGCGUUCGAUCUGCAGCUUGUCGC
RNAcentral lists this transfer RNA (90 nucleotides) under Planctomycetes bacterium ADurb.Bin069. Its description in RNAcentral is "tRNA-Gln". The record is from RNAcentral. Lineage: Bacteria; Pseudomonadati; Planctomycetota.